Molecule: ribosomal RNA, 123 nt
Filed under: Acyrthosiphon pisum (pea aphid)
Lineage: Eukaryota; Metazoa; Arthropoda; Insecta; Hemiptera; Aphididae
Source: RNAcentral
GCUAACGACCGUACCACGUUGAAUACACCAGUUCUCGUCUAAACACUGUUGUUAAGCAAUGUCGGGCGUAGUUUUAGUACUUGGAUGGGUGACCACUUGGAACAACACUACGUGCUGUUAGAA